Molecule: long non-coding RNA, 596 nt
Organism: Rhea pennata
Lineage: Eukaryota; Metazoa; Chordata; Aves; Rheiformes; Rheidae
Exons: 4
Source: RefSeq, a predicted model, not a curated record
UUGAAAUGGACAUGCACCUCCAGGCUUGAACAAUUCUAAUUAGUAUUCGUCACAAGCAAUGCUGUGUCUUUGGAUUUCUAAGGCAACUCUCCUUAAUAAGAGCAAAUGAUCUUGUGUAAUAACAAACCUGACAGAUCUUCAUAAUUGAUCACUAUUCCUCACAGAUCAAGGGCACAGGAUGCAAAAGGAAUGAAGGCAAGGCAAUAUAGUAGUGGACAUCAGACGUACACGCCGUACUGCCUGUCAGCAAUACUCCAUGGAGCCUGCUGUUUCCAGAGAGAACUGCGUGAAGGUGAAUAAAUGGACAAGUGAAGCAGUAUAUGGAAAAUGGAAAAUGUGCCUACUCAUGGCAUGAACUACAUCAAGAGAGAAAAAUUCAGGGAGAAAAGCCACUAGUGUUAAUUUACAUUUUGUAAUGAAUUUGGUACCACUGUGUCUGCCCUCUUUUGUGUUCACUUCCUUCUAAUUCUCUAAUAAACUGAGCUGUGGACAGGAAUCCCUGGGAAAGAACGGCAUGCCAGUCAUUACAGCAGGAUAUUCAUGGAGGGUGAAAUUCAUUCUUCUAGAAAGAGGCAGGACAAAGACACUUUGCAUAC